CCUACGGGAGGCAGCAGUGGGGGAUAUUGCACAAUGGGGGGAACCCUGAUGCAGCGACGCCGCGUGGGUGAAGGAGUAUUUCGGUAUGUAAAGCCCUAUCGGCAGGGAAGAAAUUGGACGGUACCUGACUAAGAAGCCCCGGCUAACUACGUGCCAGCAGCCGCGGUAAUACGUAGGGGGCAAGCGUUAUCCGGAUUCACUGGGUGUAAAGGGAGCGUAGACGGCCAUGCAAGCCAGGGGUGAAAGCCCGGGGCCCAACCCCGGGACUGCCCUUGGAACUGCAUGGCUGGAGUGCGGGAGGGGCAGGCGGAAUUACUGGUGUAGCGGUGAAAUGCGUAGAGAUCAGGAGGAACACCGGCGGCGAAGGCGGCCUGCUGGACCGCGACUGACGUUGAGGCUCGAAAGCGUGGGGAGCGAACAGGAUUAGAUACCCUGGUAGUC
This 441-nucleotide ribosomal RNA is filed under the name uncultured bacterium. RNAcentral describes it as "partial 16S ribosomal RNA". It matches the Rfam family "Bacterial small subunit ribosomal RNA", at positions 338 to 795 of the family's 1533-position model. The record is from RNAcentral.